GAUGAAACGCUGGCGGCGUGCUUAACACAUGCAAGUCGAACGGGAAUUACUUUAUUGAACUUCGGUCGAUUUAAUUUAAUUCUAGUGGCGGACGGGUGAGUAACGCGUGGGUAAACCUGCCUUAUACAGGGGGAUAACAGUCAGAAAUGACUGCUAAUACCGCAUAAGCGCACGGAACCGCAUGGUUCUGUGUGAAAAAACUCCGGUGGUAUAAGAUGGACCCGCGUUGGAUUAGCUUGUGGUGAGGUAACGGCUCACCAAGGCGACGAUCCAUAGCCGGCCUGAGAGGGUGAACGGCCACAUUGGGACUGAGACACGGCCCAAACUCCUACGGGAGGCAGCAGUAGGGAAUCUUCGGCAAUGGACGAAAGUCUGACCGAGCAAACGCCGCGUGAGUGAAGAAGGUUUUCGGAAUCGUAAAACUCUGUUGGUAAGAGAAGAACGUUGGUGAGAGUGGAAAGCUCAUCAAGUGACGGUAACUACCCAGAAAGGGACGGCU
This 499-nucleotide ribosomal RNA is filed under the name uncultured bacterium. RNAcentral's name for it is "bacterial SSU rRNA". It matches the Rfam family "Bacterial small subunit ribosomal RNA", at positions 27 to 498 of the family's 1533-position model. The record is from RNAcentral.